This 295-nucleotide long non-coding RNA is filed under the name Setaria italica (foxtail millet). Its description in RNAcentral is "long non-coding RNA (SITA_LNC003380)". The record is from RNAcentral. Lineage: Eukaryota; Viridiplantae; Streptophyta; Magnoliopsida; Poales; Poaceae.
ACCGCAGCUCCCAGCUUAACUUAGAGGAUCUCUUGGAAAACAGGUGGUUACUCAAAGAACCAUUUGCCAUAUAUUCAUACACCAGGAACCUUCUACUAUCUUCAGUGCAAAACCCAAGCAGACGGACAAUAUUGAUGUGCUGAAUCAUACCUAUGGUCUGCACCUCUGCUCGAAAUUGCUUGUCUUCCUGUCUGAGGCCUUUUAGCUUCUUCACAGCCACAGCAGUGCAGCCUGGCAACAUCCCUUUAAAAACGCAGCCAAAGCCUCCCUCUCCAAGUUUUUCAGAGAAAUUUUU